Long non-coding RNA from Zingiber officinale, 335 nucleotides. RefSeq lists it as uncharacterized. The record is from RefSeq and is a predicted model, not a curated record. NCBI's taxonomy places the organism in Eukaryota, Viridiplantae, Streptophyta, Magnoliopsida, Zingiberales, Zingiberaceae. The transcript is spliced from 4 exons.
GUUGAUCCGCAUCUUUCUUGGUGGAUCGAGCCCCUCUCAGCUUUUCUCUUUGACCUAUUCAUUGGAGGGGGUUGCGGAUCAUCUCCAGUUGAGGUGGAUCGCGCGGAUCGAUUGAGAGGAAGCAGAGGAUCAAUGUGCUGUGGAAUUGCCCUGUUGCUGGUCAUUAUAAACUUCCCUUCAUGAAGCUGUGAAGGUCUUGGGUGAGAAGGAAUGGAAGGAGUUGUGGUGUGGAUGGCAUUGGCUAUUAACAGGGAAGAACAAUCCAAUUUGGAUCACUGUUCUCUACAACUUGCAGCUGAUAGGGUUUCGGCUGAAGGAUUGGAGGUCUAUCAAGG